Molecule: ribosomal RNA, 418 nt
Filed under: Calamodontophis paucidens
Lineage: Eukaryota; Metazoa; Chordata; Lepidosauria; Squamata; Dipsadidae
Description: partial 16S ribosomal RNA
Rfam family: Bacterial large subunit ribosomal RNA
Source: RNAcentral
AGUGAAUAAUUCAACGGCCGCGGUACCCUAACCGUGCAAAGGUAGCAUAAUCACUUGUCUAUUAAUUGUAGACCAGCAUGAAUGGCAAAAUGAAGGCCUAACUGUCUCUUAUAGUAAAUCAAUUAAACUGAUCUCCUAGUAAAAAAGCUAGAAUAAUCUCAUAAGACCAGAAGACCCUGUGAAGCUUAAACUACACUAUUAAAUCUCAUAAUAGCUACUUUCGGUUGGGGCGACCUUGGAAAAAAAAAGAACUUCCAAACAACGACCAUAAAUCGCACACAUAGGCCUACAAGCCCAACUUGACCCAGUAAAACUGAUAAUCGAACUAAGUUACUCCAGGGAUAACAGCGCCAUCUUCUUCAAGAGUCCAUAUCAAAAAGAAGGUUUACGACCUCGAUGUUGGAUCAGGACAUCCUAA